UACGAGGGGUGCAAGCGUUAUUCGGAAUGACUGGGCGUAAAGGGUGCGUAGACGGUAUAUUAAGUCUGUUGUUAAAUUCUUCGGCCUAACCGAAGUCAAGCGAUGGAAACUGGUAUUCUGGAGGGUGAAAGAGAGGAGUGGAAUUCUCGGAGUAGCGGUAAAAUGCGUAGAUCUCGAGAGGAACACCAAUGGCGAAAGCAGCUCCUUGGUUCACACCUGACGUUGAGGCACGAAAGCGUGGGGAGCAAACAGG
RNAcentral lists this ribosomal RNA (253 nucleotides) under uncultured bacterium. RNAcentral's name for it is "partial 16S ribosomal RNA". It matches the Rfam family "Bacterial small subunit ribosomal RNA", at positions 524 to 776 of the family's 1533-position model. The record is from RNAcentral.